CCUACGUGAGGCAGCAGUGAGGAAUAUUGGUCAAUGGACGAGAGUCUGAACCAGCCAAGUAGCGUGAAGGAUGAAUGCCCUAUGGGUUGUAAACUUCUUUUAUAUGGGAAUAAAAAGUUACACGUGUGGGAUUUUGUAUGUACCAUAUGAAUAAGGAUCGGAUAACUCAGUGCCAGCAGCCGCGGUAAUACGGAGGAUCCGAGCGUUAUCCGGAUUUAUUGGGUUUAAGGGGAGCGUAGGUGGAUUGUUAAGUCAGUUGUGAAAGUUUACGGCUCAACCUUAAAAUUGCAGUUGAAACUGGCAGUCUUGAGUACAGUAGAGGUGGGCGGAAUUCGAGGUGUAGCGGUGAAAUGCUUAGAUAUCACGAAGAACUCCGAUUGCGAAGGCAGUUCACUGGACUGCAACUGACACUGAGGUUCGAAAGUGUGGGUAUCAAACAGGAUUAGAUACCCCGGUAGUC
RNAcentral lists this ribosomal RNA (460 nucleotides) under uncultured bacterium. RNAcentral's name for it is "partial 16S ribosomal RNA". It matches the Rfam family "Bacterial small subunit ribosomal RNA", at positions 338 to 795 of the family's 1533-position model. The record is from RNAcentral.